AAGUUUCAACAACGGAUCUCUUGGCUCUCGCAUCGAUGAAGAACGCANCGAAAUGCGAUAAGUAAUGUGAAUUGCAGAAUUCAGUGAAUCAUCGAAUCUUUGAACGCACCUUGCGCUCCUUGGUAUUCCUUGGAGCAUGCCUGUUUGAGUAUCAU
Molecule: ribosomal RNA, 155 nt
Filed under: Thanatephorus cucumeris
Lineage: Eukaryota; Fungi; Basidiomycota; Agaricomycetes; Cantharellales; Ceratobasidiaceae
Description: 5.8S ribosomal RNA
Rfam family: 5.8S ribosomal RNA
About the family: 5.8S ribosomal RNA (5.8S rRNA) is a component of the large subunit of the eukaryotic ribosome.
Source: RNAcentral